Molecule: ribosomal RNA, 819 nt
Filed under: Fidelibacterota bacterium
Lineage: Bacteria; Pseudomonadati; Fidelibacterota
Description: partial 23S ribosomal RNA
Rfam family: Bacterial large subunit ribosomal RNA
Source: RNAcentral
GCUUAGUAUUGGAUUCUGGUUCUGCAUGUGUAGGAUAGGUGGGAGGCUUUGAAGCUCCGGCGCCAGUCGGGGUGGAGCCGACCUUGAAAUACCACCCUUGUUUUGCGAGAAUUCUAAUCCUGACCCUUGAAUCAGGGCAGGAAACAGUGCUAGGUGGGUAGUUUGACUGGGGCGGUCUCCUCCUAAAAGGUAACGGAGGAACCCAAAGGUUCCCUCAGCAUGGUCGGUAAUCAUGCGAAGAGCGCAAAGGCAUAAGGGAGCUUGACUGUGAGGUCGACGGACCGAGCAGGUACGAAAGUAGGGCUUAGUGAUCUGGUGGUUCCGAAUGGAAGGGCCAUCACUCAAUGGAUAAAAGGUACGCCGGGGAUAACAGGCUUAUCUCCCCCAAGAGUUCAUAUCGACGGGGAGGUUUGGCACCUCGAUGUCGGCUCAUCACAUCCUGGGGCUGGAGAAGGUCCCAAGGGUUGGGCUGUUCGCCCAUUAAAGUGGUACGUGAGCUGGGUUUAGAACGUCGUGAGACAGUUCGGUCUCUAUCCGCCGUGGGCGCAGGAGAAUUGAAGGAAUCUGCUUCUAGUACGAGAGGACCGAAGUGGACGAACCGCUGGUGCACCAGUUGUUUCAUCAGAAGCAUCGCUGGGUAGCUAUGUUCGGAAAGGAUAAGCGCUGAAAGCAUAUAAGUGCGAAACCUGUCCUAAGAUUAGUUCUCCCUAUCAUCUUGAUAAUAAGGCUCGUUGUAGACUACGACGUUGAUAGGCCACAAGUGUAAGUGCAGUAAUGCAUUCAGCUGAGUGGUACUAAUUAGCCGAAUGGCUUUAUCAA